This 468-nucleotide ribosomal RNA is filed under the name uncultured bacterium. RNAcentral's name for it is "partial 16S ribosomal RNA". It matches the Rfam family "Bacterial small subunit ribosomal RNA", at positions 28 to 507 of the family's 1533-position model. The record is from RNAcentral.
GACGAACGCUGGCGGCGUGCUUAACACAUGCAAGUCGAACGGAAAGGCCCUGCUUUUGUGGGGUGCUCGAGUGGCGAACGGGUGAGUAACACGUGAGUAACCUGCCCUUGACUUUGGGAUAACUUCAGGAAACUGGGGCUAAUACCGGAUAGGAGCUCCUGCUGCAUGGUGGGUGUUGGAAAGUUUCGGCGGUUGGGGAUGGACUCGCGGCUUAUCAGCUUGUUGGUGGGGUAGUGGCUUACCAAGGCUUUGACGGGUAGCCGGCCUGAGAGGGUGACCGGCCACAUCGGGACUGAGAUACGGCCCAGACUCCUACGGGAGGCAGCAGUGGGGAAUAUUGCACAAUGGGCGGAAGCCUGAUGCAGCAACGCCGCGUGCGGGAUGACGGCCUUCGGGUUGUAAACCGCUUUCGCCUGUGACGAAGCGUGAGUGACGGUAAUGGGUAAAGAAGCACCGGCUAACUACGUG